RNAcentral lists this ribosomal RNA (315 nucleotides) under Veillonella atypica. RNAcentral describes it as "bacterial SSU rRNA". It matches the Rfam family "Bacterial small subunit ribosomal RNA", at positions 202 to 494 of the family's 1533-position model. The record is from RNAcentral. Lineage: Bacteria; Bacillati; Bacillota; Negativicutes; Veillonellales; Veillonellaceae.
AAAGGUGGCCCUCUAUUUAUAAGCUAUCACUGAAGGAGGGGAUUGCGUCUGAUUAGCUAGUUGGAGGGGUAACGGCCCACCAAGGCGAUGAUCAGUAGCCGGUCUGAGAGGAUGAACGGCCACAUUGGGACUGAGACACGGCCCAGACUCCUACGGGAGGCAGCAGUGGGGAAUCUUCCGCAAUGGACGAAAGUCUGACGGAGCAACGCCGCGUGAGUGAUGACGGCCUUCGGGUUGUAAAGCUCUGUUAAUCGGGACGAAUGGUUUCUUGUGCAAAUAGUGCGAGGAUUUGACGGUACCGGAAUAGAAAGCCCG